GUGGAGGCUGAGGCACAUAGAGGUGAGCAACUGACCCAGGUCACACAGAGAGUGCGUGGUGGAGCUGAUGCUGGAACCCAGGACACCUGUCUCCAUGGCCCUGGCUCUAGGACAUCUGCCAAAGGUGUCCACAGCAUGAUCUCUUCACCGGGAUUGGGAUGAAAACACCAGUCAUCACCCAGCAGAUGUUGCUUCUCUACUGAGGACCCUUCAACUUGUUCACUGUUUCAAAGCUGAAGCUGCAAUUUGCGAACUCGCAUUUUCCUGAAGGCUUUCCCACCUGGGCCUUGCCGAGGAACAUACAGUAUCAUCCCACCGACUGCUGGCAUUCGGCCCUGCGCCCACACAGCCCAGCGCUCUGCCUACCUGUGUCCAGGUGAGAGUGCAUCACAGGCGUCCUCCUGGACAGGCAGAGGGAAGCUCUCCAUCAUUACGGAAUGCUUCCUCUACUGUAUGACACACUCAGUUGAAUGAAAAGAAACAUCAGUCUUUC
RNAcentral lists this long non-coding RNA (493 nucleotides) under Pan troglodytes (chimpanzee). Its description in RNAcentral is "long non-coding RNA NONPTRT014430". Lineage: Eukaryota; Metazoa; Chordata; Mammalia; Primates; Hominidae. The record is from RNAcentral.